CUACGGGUGGCUGCAGUGAGGAAUAUUGCACAAUGGGGGGAACCCUGAUGCAGCAACGCCGCGUGGAGGAUGACGCAUUUCGGUGUGUAAACUCCUUUUAUAUGUCAAGAAAAUGACGGUAGCAUAUGAAUAAGCACCGGCUAACUCCGUGCCAGCAGCCGCGGUAAUACGGAGGGUGCAAGCGUUACUCGGAAUCACUGGGCGUAAAGGACGCGUAGGCGGGUUGGAAAGUCAGGUGUGAAAUCCUACAGCUUAACUGUAGAACUGCACUUGAAACUACGAGCCUAGAGUAUGGGAGGGGCAGAUGGAAUUAGUGGUGUAGGGGUAAAAUCCGUAGAUAUCACUAGGAAUACCUAAAGCGAAGGCGAUCUCCUGGAACAUUACUGACGCUAAGGCGUGAAAGCGUGGGGAGCAAACAGGAUUAGAUACCCCCGUAGUC
RNAcentral lists this ribosomal RNA (439 nucleotides) under uncultured bacterium. RNAcentral describes it as "partial 16S ribosomal RNA". It matches the Rfam family "Bacterial small subunit ribosomal RNA", at positions 339 to 795 of the family's 1533-position model. The record is from RNAcentral.